Molecule: transfer RNA, 77 nt
Filed under: Nanobdellota archaeon
Lineage: Archaea; Nanobdellati; Nanobdellota
Description: tRNA-Arg
Rfam family: tRNA
About the family: Transfer RNA (tRNA) molecules are approximately 80 nucleotides in length.
Source: RNAcentral
GCGCCCGUAACUCAGCCUGGAAUCAGAGUACCUCCGUCCUAAGGAGGGAGUCGUAGGUUCAAAUCCUAUCGGGCGCA